This 252-nucleotide ribosomal RNA is filed under the name Salmonella enterica subsp. enterica serovar Montevideo. RNAcentral's name for it is "partial 16S ribosomal RNA". It matches the Rfam family "Bacterial small subunit ribosomal RNA", at positions 770 to 1478 of the family's 1533-position model. The record is from RNAcentral. Lineage: Bacteria; Pseudomonadati; Pseudomonadota; Gammaproteobacteria; Enterobacterales; Enterobacteriaceae.
AAACAGGAUUAGAUACCCUGGUAGUCCACGCCGUAAACGAUGUCUACUUGGAGGUUGUGCCCUUGAGGCGUGGCUUCCGGAGCUAACGCGUUAAGUAGACCGCCUGGGGAGUACGGCCGCAAGGUUACCCUUCAUACAUAAACUCCUCAGGCCGAUUUAACGGGCUGUGAUUUCAUUAAUAUAUUAAUGAUUAGAUUUAUGCUUUCGCUGUACAUUUAGCAAGCUGAAGUAAAGUAUUUGUGAUGUGAUUAA